This 309-nucleotide ribosomal RNA is filed under the name Chaetomium globosum. Its description in RNAcentral is "SSU rRNA". It matches the Rfam family "Eukaryotic small subunit ribosomal RNA", at positions 1140 to 1471 of the family's 1831-position model. Lineage: Eukaryota; Fungi; Ascomycota; Sordariomycetes; Sordariales; Chaetomiaceae. The record is from RNAcentral.
UAACUUAAAGGAAUUGACGGAAGGGCACCACCAGGGGUGGAGCCUGCGGCUUAAUUUGACUCAACACGGGGAAACUCACCAGGUCCAGACACGAUGAGGAUUGACAGAUUGAGAGCUCUUUCUUGAUUUCGUGGGUGGUGGUGCAUGGCCGUUCUUAGUUGGUGGAGUGAUUUGUCUGCUUAAUUGCGAUAACGAACGAGACCUUAACCUGCUAAAUAGCCCGCAUUGCUUUGGCAGUGCGCCGGCUUCUUAGAGGGACUAUCGGCUCAAGCCGAUGGAAGUUUGAGGCAAUAACAGGUCUGUGAUGCA